AGCUGCAGCCCCACAGAUAAAAAUCUGAAACAUUUAGGUCAUGAAAAGUUGAUAACCAUUUAAUGUGUCCAUAUAACAAAACAGAUGAAUACCUGUGGUGGAUCAAAAAUUUUAGAGAUUCCUGAGGCCCAAACUAAGAAAAAUUCUGAAACAAAUAAUACUAUUAAGGACUGGUAUAAGAAGUGACUAGACAGACAGUCAUGCCAGUAAAAUAUUUCAAAAACAGAGAGCCGAUCAUACAAAGAAUGCUCAAGUAUCCUAAGCGCAAAAUCGUUGAAGCCCACUGGCUCGCGUCACAAUAUGGAAGAGAACUUUAUUUACCGCAUUCUUAAGUAUCAUCCAAGUUUUCUUACUAGAACCGAGCGUGACAAAAGUCAGACUCCAAGUAUCCGAGACUUCGCAUUUCCUUGCACAUGGCAUAAAUAGAAAACAAAAAGAAUUCCUUGAAAAUUUAUUUAAUGAUUAUAUGUAUAUCUGAUUUGGAUUAUUGCCCUACCCAAUUUUAAAACUGCCUUUUCCUAAAACGUUUCUAGCUGCAUAAAUAUGCAAUUUAAAGGAAAGUUAAAAAAUUUUUUUAUUUUUAAUAGUUAGAAAGCAAAUAACAGUUUAUAAAACAACAAUAAUAUGUAUAUAUAACAGUAAAAGUAGGAUAAAUUUCCGAAUAUUGAGAUCUAAGCCAGACACUUAUCCAAUGUACGUAUUGAUUCUAUAGUCUUCACUAACAAAAAAUUUGCAUAUAAUACUUGUUUUUAUAUUGUGAAAUUUUACAUACAUAUUUAACAUAAAUUAUUAUAAGAUACAUUUGCAUAAUUCAGGAAUUUUUAAUUCAUAUGCACAUUUAAGUCGAUGUCAUGCCAUACAUAAUGUAAAAGUAUGUAUUAAGUACUGAUUCAAAUACGCGUCGUACAUAAAUAGUGAAUAUGUAAGAACUACACGCGCAGGAUCAGAUAAAAAUGGCGAAGUGUAGAGCAACUGCUGGUAAAGUGUAGAGUUAUAUAUUUGUUCAUGUUGAGGAUAGACGAAACCAUAAAGCGGUUUGGUUGCCACAGAGAACGUUAAUUCUUUCGCUACGGGCAGAUUGCCGCGGUGCGGCACUCCCGCUGAACGAGCCGUCACGCCAAAACAAUGCUUGGUACGCGAGAAAGAUCGUCAGCGGCCGCGUUUACGCCUCACUGCAAAACGAGCUGCUCUGACGGUAUUUUUCGAAGAAGAAAACUUUCCUCAAAACUGGGUAUUUAUAACUUCUUAACAUACUCACUUUUAAUUACAAUUUGGAAAAAAAUAACAUUACAGAAUAUAAUAAUAUGAUAUAAUAUAAUAUAAUUGUAUGAUACUAAUAGCUUUUAAUAAUAGUAUUGCGUGUGGUAUUUUUCGAAACAUGGUGUAACACAUAGACCAACAUCACAAAUCUGGCACUGGUAUCACGAUUCGCUCCACAGUUCCCAUCAAUCGAUUAUAAUCGGCAACAUAUUGAAUCUUCUUUUGCAUGCGAUAAUGACGUUUCAUGUUAACAAAUUCUUCAUUGUGAAAAGAGGACAACAUAUACACUGCCCUCUUGUUAAAUCAUUUUAUUGUUAAUAAAAGGCUUAAGGAUGUACAAUAUUCGUCGUAUGUAGUCACCCGUAGUAGCGAAAGGGUUAAAUAUCAAGGAGGGAGGGGUGAGUAUACGAUACACUGUUGCCACUCCUAUCUGUUAUUACGCGCGCGGAUUUCCACUAAAGUGAAUGGUCGUGUAGUAUACGAUAUGGGUUGAGAUGUUGUUGACAUAGAAAGAAUGGCACGCGUG
Bombus impatiens (common eastern bumble bee) is the source of this 1786-nucleotide long non-coding RNA. RefSeq lists it as uncharacterized. NCBI's taxonomy places the organism in Eukaryota, Metazoa, Arthropoda, Insecta, Hymenoptera, Apidae. The record is from RefSeq and is a predicted model, not a curated record. The transcript has 2 exons.